GAACAUUGAACACUACAGUAAAAAGUUACUAAUAUUUCAAUGUCGUAAGGUAAUGAAGGUAAUAUUAGUUGUACUUUGUCGUAGUGGGAGAAAGUUAAAUAAAAUCAUAGCUCAGUGUACAUUCUUGGGAUAGUUUCGGUAACCGGAUUCCGGAAGAGUUUAAUACCAAACUAGAUAGUUACGACAAAGCACUACUGGACAAAUAUUGCAUCAGA
This 215-nucleotide long non-coding RNA is filed under the name Nicotiana benthamiana. RNAcentral's name for it is "long non-coding RNA (NBEN_LNC004093)". Lineage: Eukaryota; Viridiplantae; Streptophyta; Magnoliopsida; Solanales; Solanaceae. The record is from RNAcentral.